This 353-nucleotide ribosomal RNA is filed under the name uncultured bacterium. Its description in RNAcentral is "bacterial SSU rRNA". It matches the Rfam family "Bacterial small subunit ribosomal RNA", at positions 917 to 1270 of the family's 1533-position model. The record is from RNAcentral.
GGGCCCGCACAAGCGGUGGAGCAUGUGGUUUAAUUCGAUGCAACGCGAAGAACCUUACCAAGCCUUGACAUCCUCGGAACUUUCCAGAAAUGGAUUGGUGCCUUCGGGAACCGAGUGACAGGUGCUGCAUGGCUGUCGUCAGCUCGUGUCGUGAGAUGUUGGGUUAAGUCCCGCAACGAGCGCAACCCACGUCUUUAGUUGCCAGCAUUUAGUUGGGCACUCUAGAGAGACCGCCGGUGAUAAACCCGGAGGAAGGUGUGGAUGACGUCAAGUCAUCAUGCCCCUUACAUCCUGGGCUACACACGUACUACAAUGCUACGGACAAAGGGCAGCAAGUUCGCGAGGACAAGAAA